This 412-nucleotide unclassified non-coding RNA is filed under the name Fusarium oxysporum. Its description in RNAcentral is "partial contains 28S ribosomal RNA, 28S-18S ribosomal RNA intergenic spacer, and 18S ribosomal RNA". The record is from RNAcentral. Lineage: Eukaryota; Fungi; Ascomycota; Sordariomycetes; Hypocreales; Nectriaceae.
AUCUUGCAGACUUCCACUGUGUGUCCCUCUGUACAGCUUUGCAGGCUCCGGCCUCGGCAGCGGGGGGUUCAUAGUGGUCGUCGACCUCCACGAAACUGCACGCUCCGGCGUGACAGCGUACUGGGGAUGCCUGUGUAGAUGCAGUCCGGGCUUGCCUGGACCGCUAGCAGAUGGGCUCUGUGGAUGACUGGCCGCUGGCUAGACCUGAAACCUGAGCAACGGGAGGUAACCUCUCGCCGCGGACACCGGAAUGGUAGAAGCGGCGUGCUGCGUCCUCCUCUUGGGGCCCCUAAGCCACACCUCCCAUAGCGGGUUCGGUGCGGCGGACGGACGCCCUGGGGAAUUUAGAGGGGGAAAGCGGAUUGCCCUAGCGGUGUUGUUGGCCCUGCCGACCUCACUGCGAAAGGCGCGA